UGUUACUAUUACUCAGACACCAUCAUUUUUUCAUCAAAGAAGAAAAAGAAAAGCAUCACUGUGUAUCAUGGCUAAGAUCAGUUUGCUCCUUGGCUUCUUUUUGUUUGUCUUGAUUGUCAUGCCAGCUUCUUUAUCCAGUAGAUUGAUACUGGAUGAGGACCAAGAAGUAGUAGAUACAUGCCCAAAAGUUAAGUGUGUAAGUGUUUGCCUCAAUCCACCACCAAAAGUCUGCCCACAAAAUAAAUGCAGAUUUGGUUCUUACAUGCCGUGUUGUAGAUGUCCAGAAUGCUGUCCUCCUCCUGCUUAAAAUGCCCACUGGAUCCUGGUCGUACCGCACAUCAUAUAAUCUUUCUUGCAAAUAUAUGUAUGUAACUACGUAUUGUAUUGUGUUCUCUCCUUUUAAUCUGAUGUAAGUGUACAAUCCAGUGUUGGAUGUAAUAAUAAAAUGUAUGCGGUUACAGAGAUG
Papaver somniferum (opium poppy) is the source of this 466-nucleotide long non-coding RNA. RefSeq lists it as uncharacterized. The transcript is spliced from 2 exons. Lineage: Eukaryota; Viridiplantae; Streptophyta; Magnoliopsida; Ranunculales; Papaveraceae. The record is from RefSeq and is a predicted model, not a curated record.